Molecule: long non-coding RNA, 820 nt
Organism: Monodelphis domestica (gray short-tailed opossum)
Lineage: Eukaryota; Metazoa; Chordata; Mammalia; Didelphimorphia; Didelphidae
Source: Ensembl
UCAUGAGCCAGUCUCCACAUUCUCAAGUAUACUAUAGGUCUUUGAGAUGAAGUCUUUAAAACUCCUGGAGGAUUCCCUACAAUUUUCUCUAAGGUAUGCAGUCUGUCACAGAGACUCACAGAAAAAGAAGCAGGACAGACCAAAGAAGCAGAAAUCAUCAGAACGUACAAAUGGUUGAAGAUCAAUAAGAUGACACCAUGACUCUACUAUAUCUAUAUCUAUUUGACAAAUGUGAAUGCUAACAUUGGUUGUGGAGCCAAUACAUGAUGAAAAAAUGUUGGAUUUUCAAUACAAUGACCUGAUUUUCCAUUCUGCCUCUGACACUUUAGUUUACAAAUGAAACUUUAGUUCAGUCACUUUACCUCUUCAGUUUCCUUAUCUGUAAAAUGAAGAGCAGAAUAGGUUUCCUCUAAGGACUCAGGGGUGUGGAAAGGAAACAAGACUGAUAGUUUGUGGGGGAAGGGCCCAACUGGGAGUGGCAACUGGGUCUUGUGACUAGCACUUCCUUCCUGCCGGGGAGGACUGGCUUCUGGGUAUUGGAGGGGAGAGGAGCUUGUUCAGCCCAGUCUGGAGUGGCAUGCUCUUCUUGGUUCAGCCCGAAGACACAGGCUUCUGAAGGUUAGAAUUGUUCUUGUUUGCUUUCUGUCUAUUGCUAAGAUUCUGAAUUAGAACAACGAGAGUAGACGGGAGUGGAACAAACCCUUCGCCAGCCUCUAGGGCCUGGCCCUAUACUCUGAAGCUAAGGAAAAACUCCAAUUCCAACUGGAUUAUUAAACUUUAUAUUAUUUGAAUUCGCAGUCAGAUAAGUGGACUAUCUUUU